UCUCUUUCUCUGCAGUGGUUCUGGUCCCGGUCACUUCCCUCUGGGUGAGAUCCAGCUCACCAUCAGACACUCGUCCCAGAGGAACAAACUCAUCGUGGUGGUGCACGGCUGCAGAAACCUGAUAGCGUUCACGGACCACGGCUCGGAUCCGUACGUCCGCCUCUACCUGCUUCCCGACAAACGGAGGUCAGGGAGGAGGAAAACUCACACCUUCAAGAAGACCCUCAACCCCGUUUACGACCAGACCUAUGAGUUCAGUGUGUCUCUCGUGGAGCUCCACAGACGCACUCUGGACAUCGCGGUGAAGAACGGAGGAGGACUGCUCUCCAAACACAAAGGCCUUCUGGGAA
Long non-coding RNA from Notothenia coriiceps (black rockcod), 350 nucleotides. RefSeq lists it as uncharacterized. The record is from RefSeq and is a predicted model, not a curated record. NCBI's taxonomy places the organism in Eukaryota, Metazoa, Chordata, Actinopteri, Perciformes, Nototheniidae. The transcript is spliced from 3 exons.